GAUGAACGCUGGCGGCGUGCUUAACACAUGCAAGUCGAACGGGAUCCAUCAAGCUUGCUUGGUGGUGAGAGUGGCGAACGGGUGAGUAAUGCGUGACCGACCUGCCCCAUACACCGGAAUAGCUCCUGGAAACGGGUGGUAAUGCCGGAUGCUCCAGUUGAUCGCAUGGUCUUCUGGGAAAGCUUUCGCGGUAUGGGAUGGGGUCGCGUCCUAUCAGCUUGACGGCGGGGUAACGGCCCACCGUGGCUUCGACGGGUAGCCGGCCUGAGAGGGCGACCGGCCACAUUGGGACUGAGAUACGGCCCAGACUCCUACGGGAGGCAGCAGUGGGGAAUAUUGCACAAUGGGCGCAAGCCUGAUGCAGCGACGCCGCGUGAGGGAUGGAGGCCUUCGGGUUGUAAACCUCUUUUAUCGGGGAGCAAGCGAGAGUGAGUUUACCCGUUGAAUAAGCACCGGCUAACU
RNAcentral lists this ribosomal RNA (462 nucleotides) under uncultured bacterium. RNAcentral's name for it is "bacterial SSU rRNA". It matches the Rfam family "Bacterial small subunit ribosomal RNA", at positions 28 to 502 of the family's 1533-position model. The record is from RNAcentral.